AAUCUUCAUGUAAACAAUAAAUCAUCAUUACAUUUGUGUUUCUUCACCUUAGAAAGAAACUGUGGUGACCAGCAACUUGAAGAUGACUACAACAGUUGCAAGAGAAAUCUAAGAGGUGAAAAGGUAGACAAACUGUAUCAACAUGAAGAAAUAGUGUUUUGUUCUCCAGAUGGUAAUUUGUACAUGAAAACAGUUGGCACAAAACCAAGUGAAAGCUUUGCCUGUAGAAAGCACCUGCUAUCUCAUUCACCAGAAAAUAUGCCCGUUAAAGCUAAUCCUGCACUCAAAUUGUAUGAGUGUCAGAGCUGUCGAGAGAAGCUAUCUAACUGUAGCAAACAUAGGGACGCCUGCACUGAAUUGCAAUCCUUUCAGAAGCAUGCUAAGAUAACUCCUGGAGAGAAAACGUAUGAAUAUAAGAAAUGUGGAAUAUCUUUCUCUGAUGGCACUGAAAGAACUAACAUGGCAGAGAAGCCUUUUGAAUAUAAGCUUGAUGUGCCAGCCUUCAGUACAUCGAACUAUGUUGAAAUCCAAGAAAGACAUCACAGUAGAGUGGACCCAUAUCCCCCAGCUGCAGAAGGUGAACUCAGAGUCAGAGAAAGAAGCACAUCCUAAAAAAUGCUGUCACCAAGGUUAUAAACGCCUCAAAACCAGGACUGUGGUCAGCACUCACCUUAGACUCAAGCAUAACAUCAUAUAUGGUUCUCUGCAUACUACAAACAACCAACAAAUGUAGGAUUACUUCAUAAGGGCA
RNAcentral lists this long non-coding RNA (751 nucleotides) under Fukomys damarensis (Damara mole-rat). RNAcentral describes it as "lncRNA (ENSFDAG00000022864.1)". Lineage: Eukaryota; Metazoa; Chordata; Mammalia; Rodentia; Bathyergidae. The record is from RNAcentral.